AGUGAACGCUGGCGGUAGGCCUAACACAUGCAAGUCGAACGGCAGCACAGUAAGAGCUUGCUCUUACGGGUGGCGAGUGGCGGACGGGUGAGGAAUACAUCGGAAUCUACUUUUUCGUGGGGGAUAACGUAGGGAAACUUACGCUAAUACCGCAUACGACCUACGGGUGAAAGCAGGGGUUCUUCGGACCUUGCGCGAUUGAAUGAGCCGAUGUCGGAUUAGCUAGUUGGCGGGGUAAAGGCCCACCAAGGCGACGAUCCGUAGCUGGUCUGAGAGGAUGAUCAGCCACACUGGAACUGAGACACGGUCCAGACUCCUACGGGAGGCAGCAGUGGGGAAUAUUGGACAAUGGGCGCAAGCCUGAUCCAGCCAUACCGCGUGGGUGAAGAAGGCCUUCGGGUUGUAAAGCCCUUUUGUUGGGAAAGAAAAGCAGCAGGUGAAUACCCCGCUGUUCUGACGGUACCCAAAGAAUAAGCACCGGCUAACUUCGUG
RNAcentral lists this ribosomal RNA (492 nucleotides) under uncultured bacterium. RNAcentral describes it as "partial 16S ribosomal RNA". It matches the Rfam family "Bacterial small subunit ribosomal RNA", at positions 29 to 507 of the family's 1533-position model. The record is from RNAcentral.